RNAcentral lists this ribosomal RNA (440 nucleotides) under uncultured bacterium. RNAcentral's name for it is "partial 16S ribosomal RNA". It matches the Rfam family "Bacterial small subunit ribosomal RNA", at positions 338 to 795 of the family's 1533-position model. The record is from RNAcentral.
CCUACGGGAGGCAGCAGUAGGGAAUAUUGCUCAAUGGGGGGAACCCUGAUGCAGCAACGCCGCGUGGAGGAUGGAGGUUUUCGGAUUGUAAACUCCUUUUGUUAGAGAAGAUGAUGACGGUAUCUAACGAAUAAGCACCGGCUAACUCCGUGCCAGCAGCCGCGGUAAUACGGAGGGUGCAAGCGUUACGCGGAAUCACUGGGCGUAAAGAGCGCGUAGGCGGGAUAGCAAGUCAGAUGUGAAAGCCUAUGGCUUAACCAUAGAACUGCAUUUGAAACUGUUAUUCUAGAGUAUGGGAGAGGUAGGUGGAAUUCUUGGUGUAGGGGUAAAAUGCGUAGAGAUCAAGAGGAAUACUCAUGGCGAAGGCGACCUGCUAGAACAUAACUGACGCUGAUGCGCGAAAGCGUGGGGAGCAAACAGGAUUAGAUACCCGUGUAGUC